CUUCAGUAUUCCCUUCAAGAUUACUUCACUCGUGUUCUAGACCUAGCAGUCAGUCUGCCAGAAUCCAACUGAAUGACUCGAUCCAGCCGAGCACCAGCUUUCCCCUGGCCUCUGCCCCGCCCUCCUCCCGGAAGUUUUUGCCUAGCCACGGGCCGCCCAUCGUGGGGGAGAGGGCUGGAGCUCAGCUGCGGAAAGCGGCCCUGAGCACUCGCUGCAGCAGUGGGAGGCGGCCAUUUUAGCUCGGAGGUCGCUACCUCCGCGAGCCUCUUGUCGCUGCUUGAUUUCCCCUUCUGCCUUCCCCUCCUGGUAGAGCUGACAGAAAGCACCAUCAAGCUACGAGGGGUUGUUUAUUAUCAGUACUGCUAUUUUUGAAGCAGGUGCUGCUUUGUAUAAAGUCAGCAGCAUGGGUCAGGCUCUUCUGUCACACCUGUAACUCUGUGCGAGGAAAUAGCCCACGUGGGAGUGUGUGCUUGUUAUGUCUUUCAGGCAAUCAGUAGAAUGGAAGUGAACUGGUAAAGACUUAAGCUUGGGCUGUGUGUGCCUCUGUAACAAAAAGAACUAGUCAAGAGCUACAGAGGAGCAGGGGCUAAUUAUGGCAGGGUGGAAGUGUGAAGAUGCACACCUGAAUCAGGUGCUCUACUUGUGAGAACGAAGAUAGUGCCAUGUGUUUGUAUCUACUGCUGCAAGAGGAAGGAAUCGAAUGCAUCUACAGGCACUGCUAUGGCUAUCUGGAGUAGUUGAAGCUUUGCCUUGGGCUGUGGAAUGUGUAGUCUGAAAGAGUGCAGGUCUUAGUCCCUCAGCUGCAGCAGGAGUAUCAAGCUCUGCCCUUGAGCUGGCAAGCCAGCAUCUCCUGCUCUGUAGAGCAGGGAGUGACUCUGACUAAGGUGAGCAUAGUCUGCCAAAGAAGAGGAUGGUUUUGGAUUUGUUGUGUCUGAUGAAGAAGAGAAAAGGGUGGUCGGCUUUGAAAGUUACUCUAGGUGUUCUUGACCUCAACACCAGGACACCUGUGGCAGCUGCUGCCUCGGUACCUUCUUCAUUGACCUCCACAAAAGCUUUGUGAAUAACUUUUGAUAGGAAGAAGUCCUUCUUUGCUGACAUCCUUGUGAAAUCAGCCUGAACAGGGUCAAAAGCAUUUUGUAUCCCCAUGUUGCUCAAAGUGGAUGUAAGAUCAUAAUUUUCUUCAAUCUUCAACUUGGGCAGGUACAGUUCCACUUCGACUUUCAUCAUACGGGCUGAGUUGGACCAUUCAGCUAAUUUUUCAUGGGUCAGCUCUCUUUCUACCUGCAAUGAAUUUUAUAAGAAUAUAGUCAUAAUGCAACAGAAAAAAGAAGGCAUGCAUACAUUGGUGUCUAAUGCUCUAGAUUUAAAAGGUCCAACUACCAGCUGUGGGUACAGCUGAAAUGUGCUGCAUAUUCUUAGGAUGUGGUCCUGCAUAGUGCUGAGUGACCUAUACUCCUAUCUGUUUCCUUAAAUGCAGUGAGGUGUAGAGUGAACCUUCAGAAUUAUUCAUUAUUUUGGAGGUGGAUAUGAGAAGUGUUGCUUUUAUGCAGUGUCCAACUUAACCACAUUGAUAAGUGCUUGGUAUGUGUGAAUUUGUAAGACAUUUCUCUUAGUAGUGGUGAGUAAGUGGAAUGCAUGGGACCUCAAGAGCAAAUAAAAAGAUAUUUGCCCUGAUGUAUUUAGAUUCUGAAGCUCUGAUGUAUUUAGAUUCAGAAACUAAUCCUGGCAUGGUCAUGAGUGGCUGCUGUUACCUCAUGGGUCAAGGUAAGUCAGCCCCGAGUUUGAAAAGCCUCGUUACAAAGUAUCAGGUGGAAAUCUGGACUGCGGAUGACAUAAAACUGGUUAGUGUUGCCCUCAGAAGAUUAAUUCUGGGGCACAGUGGUUUAGAUUUGAUUCUUGCUUUCGUUAUUCUGCUAUUCUGGAGGUAGAAAAGGAGGCACCGAAUAGGCUAAGAGAGUAGAGUGGGCAUACUUUUUUAGGUGUAUCCUCAGGUAGAUUUGUAUUUUUGCAUCAUUAAUAGAUGCCCUGAAACCUAGGCUGAGCAGUCAUUGUGUCAUUUGAAGUUCAUUCUUCCUCACUGUUUUCAUCUAUUUCUGUUAGUGCUUUGUAGUGCGUGUGAUGCAGUAUGUCAGUUUUACCAGCUCCAGACCAGUAGUGUUAUCACUGAUGUCAUCUGGUAGGAGUACGAACAUGCUGAGUUCAUUUUCCACGUACGGCAGCUCAAUAAUUUUGAAUUUCAUUGUUUGUUCAUGGAGCAUCAAAAAUGUAUCUCUGAGAAACAUCAUCUGUACUGCUUUAGUCUUGGUCUGUGAAAUGAUUCAGAUGUUAAAAAAGAACAGAAAAGAAAAAAAGAUUAGUUGUACUUAUUCCUUAAGGUGAAUGGUAAAGAUUACUUGCUUUGUUGAACUGAAGGCAAAAAAAAAAUGUAAACAAGUAUAAGACUUGGCAUUAUUCUUUCCCAGUGCCAUUUCUCCUGUUUCAAAGUCAAAGGGAUCUUCAGAAGAAAAGAAAAAAAAAGCACAGACACCACCUGAUAACGUAAUUACAUGCAAUGUAUUUCUCACUCUUUUGAAAGAGUUAUCUUUGGUAAACAAGAAACUACUUUGUAUGUUUCAAGUUUUCCCCAAAACUUUACAUUUCUUGAGUGAAUGUGUUGAUUGGGAGGGGAAAAAAAUGCUGACUUUCAUUCUCUGGAUGUCAUCAACUCUUUUGUAUGCUUCCGGACAGCACUGAUUGAUUGAAUUUACAUAUGGACCAUAUUUGCUGUGACCUCUGCUAGUUUUUUCUCUUUCCCAAACUGUAGAGGUUUGGAUUACCAACUGAAAUCAUGUUAGACAGUAAUCAUCUGAACUCUUAUGCUGUAUUAUGCUCAGAGACCUUCACUGAUAUAUCCACUCUCUCUUUUCCAUUGUUACACAAGUGCAAAAGCUUAUCUGUUUGCAGGCUUUGCUAUCAGCCACUCUGUGAAUGAAACCCUUUCUGUGCACCGUGUACUAUUACAGGUCCUAAAACUGCGCAUGCAGUGUAGUAGGUUUCAGAUAACACAGCCACAGUAUCGACACAAUUGCUUCACAUCACCAGACAUACAAAAGGUGUUUGCACUCGUAAUCUCAUGUCAAACAACGUGUUCUGAAUGAAAAUUCUUUUUGCUCACCUUUGACACAAGCCGAAAGUAUGCAUGCUGUCAGCUACUGUAAAUUGUCCAUGCACAAUCACUGAGAUACUGUAAGCUCAGUCGUGCCCACAAUGCAUGCUGAACACAUCAUCCAUACGCAUCUGGCUAAAAUGACAAACCCUCUUGAGAAUUCCACGUGAGGUUUUACGCAAUGGCCAGGGCAUUAGGAAAGAACACUUAGGCUACUUGAGCUCACAUUAUACAGCCUCUGUCUGAAAAGCAUGAAAAGAGACCUAGGUGUCGAAGUACUGCUCUCAGAAUUAGCUCAAUUCCUUCUGAAAAUGAUAUCUCAGUACUUAGAGAAACUUUCUCUUGUCCUUAAGCUGCUUAACCAUGGUGUUUUCAACUGUUUUGGUGCCAAGAAGCUACUAACUUAACUGAAAAUCCUAAUCUCAUGCAUCUUAUAAAUGAGACUGCUGAUUUAUUGUCACUGUUGCUGUUCUCAGAGUUUAUACCAUCUGCUACUGCUGUAAGUAGUGUUGUACUGGGAUAUGAAAUGCAGGUGAAAUAUUUAGGGGAUUCUUGCUCUGCAAUAAUAGACAUUUUGAAGGAAUUUACCUUGCUUAAUCUGAAGGGCAUCUCGGAUGUGUCUUUUUCCAGAAACCUCUUUUCCCAGUUUCCUUUGAAGUAAAUAGCAUUUACUAAGACCAAUACAGUGUCAGAAUCAAGAGAUCCUGCAGGUAGUAGAUUCUGGAUCUUCCCUUAAAAAUCAAAUAGAUAGGACUGUUAAUUCGCUACGAAUGCACAACUCACCAAUUUCAGAUGUGCUUUCUCUAUGCCUAGCUAUCUAACAAAAGUGUUUACACUCAGAGAUUUUUUCCCUGUGCAUUUUUCACAGUGUACAUACAUAAAUGGCUUUUGAAG
This 4039-nucleotide long non-coding RNA is filed under the name Gallus gallus (chicken). The record is from RNAcentral. Lineage: Eukaryota; Metazoa; Chordata; Aves; Galliformes; Phasianidae.